GUGGGGAAUAUUGCACAAUGGGCGCAAGCCUGAUGCAGCAACGCCGCGUGAGGGACGACGGCCUUCGGGUUGUAAACCUCUUUUAGCAGGGAAGAAGAGAAAGUGACGGUACCUGCAGAAAAAGCACCGGCUAACUACGUGCCAGCAGCCGCGGUAAUACGUAGGGUGCAAGCGUUGUCCGGAAUUAUUGGGCGUAAAGAGCUCGUAGGCGGUUUGUCGCCUCUGCUGUGAAAACCCGAGGCUCAACCUCGGGCCUGCAGUGGGUACGGGCAGACUAGAGGGGGGUAGGGGAGAUUGGAAUUCCUGGUUUAGCGGUGGAAUGCGCAGAUAUCAGGAGGAACACCGAUGGCGAAGGCAGAUCUCUGGGCCGUAACGGACGCUGAGGAGCGAAAGCGUGGGGAGCGAACAGGAUUAGAUACCCCUGUAGUCC
This 430-nucleotide ribosomal RNA is filed under the name uncultured bacterium. RNAcentral's name for it is "partial 16S ribosomal RNA". It matches the Rfam family "Bacterial small subunit ribosomal RNA", at positions 354 to 796 of the family's 1533-position model. The record is from RNAcentral.